ACCAACCUUAACGCCUAUGCAUUUUGAGCAGUUGAUUUGACUGAUGAUCGUACAGAUCGGAUUACAUAGGUAGGCACAAAUGUGCUCUUUGUUAUUAUUAUUAAAUAUUUACGUGCCGGUUCGUCGGGCGAAACUUGUUUAGAAAUGAAAUUUGCUGUGACUUCACUUGCUUUGACAUUGACUUUGUCCCAAUAAAACUAAAGUACACAUAUAUAUAGCAGAGAUAUUUUCUAACAUACAUACACAUUUUACUGAUAUGCUCAGUGGAAGUGAUUGAACUGAAUGUAAACAAACUGGAAUGGGAGAAUGCUUUUGAGCUGGGCUUUCGACAUGGAUAACCGUAACUAUAAUGGGGUAAAAUUUAGGGAUGUUGCUGCCUUCGUCCUCCAUGAAGUCGGAGAUUAGAGCUUUUUUUGAUUAAUGGACAAGACCACCUAACGGCAUGAUAACUGAAUGAUGUAAUGAUUUUCAAAACACAAAAAAGUAAAAAAAUGCAUAAAUCCACGUGAGACAGACCUUCCGUUAUCUGAAACACAAAACCGAAGACAAUUUUUAACGUUUGAUAAAUCAUCUAUAGCGUCAAGUAGCAAUUUUUGCGGGAAAAUUGUGCGAAAUCAGGAGCACCUUGAAGUUUUCUACAAAAAUGAAUAAAACAAUUGCAUAUCAACCAAUUGAAAAGUUAAGCUACAAGUAACUUAGCAAAGUAGCAAAGAAAACAUGUACUAUUUUUAAGAUAAAUCCAUUGAAAACUUUAAAAAAUGUGGUUUUGUGCAAAACGAAGAAGUAAUAAAGAAAAUCCUUCUGCGCACUCCGCAGUCCUGUCUUAUAAUAAUGGUAACUUUCUAAGUAUUUUCAUCGGAAAUAUCUUGAAAUAUUCCUAAGAGUGCUCUUAAGCUUAAAAUCAAUUUCCAUCAAAAUUCUUCCCAU
This is a long non-coding RNA of Anastrepha ludens (Mexican fruit fly), 927 nucleotides long. RefSeq lists it as uncharacterized. Lineage: Eukaryota; Metazoa; Arthropoda; Insecta; Diptera; Tephritidae. The record is from RefSeq and is a predicted model, not a curated record. The transcript is spliced from 3 exons.